This is a long non-coding RNA of Brassica rapa (field mustard), 9360 nucleotides long. RefSeq lists it as uncharacterized. NCBI's taxonomy places the organism in Eukaryota, Viridiplantae, Streptophyta, Magnoliopsida, Brassicales, Brassicaceae. The record is from RefSeq and is a predicted model, not a curated record.
CUUCCGUCAAUUCCUUUAAGUUUCAGCCUUGCGACCAUACUCCCCCCGGAACCCAAAAACUUUGAUUUCUCAUAAGGUGCCAGCGGAGUCCUAAAAGCAACAUCCGCUGAUCCAUGGUCGGCAUCGUUUAUGGUUGAGACUAGGACGGUAUCUGAUCGUCUUCGAGCCCCCAACUUUCGUUCUUGAUUAAUGAAAACAUCCUUGGUGUUAUGAACAUGUGUGGAUUGCCAUUAACCAAGACAAGAAGAGAAGGCCCAUCAGGCCACGACCAGGCCCAACCACGGCUGUGUCCAAGAGAGAGAGAGUCGGCCACAUCCUAACCGACUUAAGGAGAGAGAGAACCGACAGCAAGGAGGAGAGAGAGUCGGCCAAAGCCUUGGCCUACUUAGGAUAUAGAUAGUUUCCUUUUUCCCAUGUAUUAGUAGUUUUCCUAUUUCAUGUAGGAUUAGGAUAAGUACUCUUUCCAUUUAUCUCUAUCUUGUAAUCCUUAUAUAAGGAACCCCUUUUGAUGGUUAAUAAUAACACAGAACAAUUACACACGAAUUCUCUAUUGUUCACAACACGUUAUCAGCACGAUAGUCCCUAAAUCCCUGAGACAAAACCAUAACCUAAAAUCCGUCACACAUAAACCCUAAAUAAGGCGGAACUUCAAAUCGAUCUAUCUCUCCAACCCCGACGAACCAGACGACGAGCCACAUAUCAAAUUGAAGCUUUGUACGAGACGAAUCCAUCAGCGCAAACCGUUCGUCGAUCCGAUCGAAAACGCGCCCACACGCGCAGAAACAAUACACGGCGCCGACUUAAGUUCUUGGAACCCUAAUCCGAGCCAACAAGAUUUUUCUAUCCAAAUUCAAAUCUUGUGAAAGAUAAGUUCAUCAUACCUUAGUUAUUUGAUGAUACCUUGUUUAGAUUAUGAUGUUGAUGUAAUCUAAUACUCUUUGUUUUCUUUAUUGUUUCAUGAGCUGAAGAGGAGUUAGUGCGAAGAACCCUAAACUGUUCUUGCUUGAAUUCUGGCUUGCAUACAUCCGAUCAGGUCCAGCCCUAAGGUGUUCCUGAUCCUAGACGCCCUCAGCUCCCUGUUCAAAACAAAGCCAGUCCACGUUCCAAGUGAGACAACUCGCAAUCUAGAUCAGCUUGCAUUCGCGAAACAGACAGCACGCGUCCGAGGUUUAUCCGUCCAUCUUGGUGGUCCGGUUCAACCCUACAAACAGAGAUAUCGAAAAGGGAUUUGGUGAUACAAUCACCAAGGAAAACAAUGAGAAUGAAUUGGUACAGGAUUCCAUCAUCUCAUUGAAGGUCUAAAAGAUCAGUACAUCAUUAUGGAAAAUCCACUAGACUUUGGGUAUGCUUCACAGCAUAGAAAUUACCACCAGAAAACGGUGUUGCUUCCAAAGGCUAGAAAUGACUGGAAAGAAUCUAAGAUUCUUGGAUUACAAAGUCAUGGAUGAGUACAACUCAGUCUUGUUUAAAGACAGUCUCGAUGCUGAGACUUUGUGGCCGAAAAUUUUAGUCUUGUUUAAGGCUUCACCACUUAUACUGACCUAAUCACAUGUCUGCUUCUGGCAGAGACCAAAUUUUCGAUACGACUAGUCUUAUUGCUUUAUGAUUGCAAUUGUGUUUUAACCUAAGGAUCAUUCACGAUUUUUUUUAUACAAAGGAAUUGGUUUUAAGUUUAUUGAAUCUUGCCUGAUCUUACUUGAACAUAUGGAUGUUUUUAAAGUAUUGCCUAAAGGGCAUAAAACCAAGAAAUCAUGAAUGGUAUAGCAAGCAUAGUAAAGAAACUAUGGCUAAGGCAUUUGCCUAUAAGGCAUUAUAUACACCCAAAGAAAACGUGGUCCAUUGAGUUAUAAUGAAUGGUUUCCAAAUAAGAAACAAUGGACAAACUAGAAGGAAACAAGUUCCCUCAGAUUUUGAAAGAAAAAUCGCCUAAGACCUUGAAAGAAAGUGAUCGAAAACUAUACCAAAUGAUCCCUACUGAUUUAAAACUAUGCUACAAAUAUCAGUAUGAUAAGAGGCAAUAGAGGUGGUGACUAUAAAGACAUAGCCCACGAAAUUAUACACUAUAUGGCAAGAUAGGAUUAGCCACCCUAAAGUUUAAACUUGAUGCAAAGAAAUUGAAAAGGCACAAAGUUAUCCCGUAAAGAUCUCACGUUGUGAAACAUGUACACAUAGGGAAACUUAUUAGGCUUAAUAAUCCCAAAGCACCACGACCUUAUAGUAUGGUCAUGAGGGGGAGAGAGGAUAAAACCCAUGAUCAAUACUACAAGUUCGUGUACCAAUGGUCUAAAGACCAUGUUAUAUGGCUCGACCAUUACUCGACCAUUACCCGGCCAAAGAGAGGCCAUGAUACAAACGGCCAAACCAAAGAGGCUAUCACCUAUAAACAGCUUGGCCACGACCUGGCCAUGACUUGGCCGUGACUUGGCCUCAUAGUGCAGCCUUGGCAGCACACAGUCCAUGACUCGGCCAAAGAGGCCGAAGAGACCAUGAGAGACAACGGCCUGGCCACAAAGGCCAUAACCGGCCGGAGAGGCCAUUACCUAUAAGAGGUUCGGCCAUUACCUAUAUGCUUGGGGACAUUAUGAAUUUACAUGUACAGAAUGAUAAUAAGAUCAUAUGCAUCAGGCCAUAUAAGUGAGCAUAGAUAUUCCCAUCUAAAGAAUGAAUACGGGUCAUUAAAACCAGACAUACACCAUCUUAAGAGUUCAUUGAAAUAAACCACCACAUACAUAUGUGUGCCGUCUAAGAUGGAACCUCAUAAGAGGAUUGGGAAUAUAUGUUGGAUAGGAGUAUUACUUUCUCCACGAAUUCAAAGAGACCUUGAGCCAAAACAUGGGUGAUUGAAUAAAGGCCAGGUACGGAUUGCAUGACCAAAAGCAUCCGACUAUCCAAACAUUAAAGGAGAAAGAUUAUAAGCUGGAUAAAGAAAGAGUAAAGGAAUGAUAAGAAUGGUUUUAACCAUCAUUGUCUUGGCAAGAUCCUCGGACCAGAGAACAUGAUAUAAGACGUCCAAAGAAAGAUAAUAUAAAGCUGUCCAAUUGAGAAGCUAAUCGACAUGCCAGACACUGACCCGAAAAAGAAUGACUAAGUCAUAACCAGCUUAGCACCAUAUGAACGUCCUAGAAGAGACAUAAUCAAGUUGCUAUAGAGUCUAUACAAGAUAGACCAAGUGUUCCAUAAGAGAAAGGAAACUCGGAUAGAAAGAAAAGGUGCAUAGAAUGAUAGAUCCGAAGUUAUAAGAGAAACCAUACAGACAUUGAGAAAAGGCUGCGCAGCUACACAUCUAAGGUACCAAACCAUGUAGUCUUGGGACGCCAAGCUACUAGGUAACAAAGGUCCUAGAUAAUGAAAUCUCAAAGUGAUCAGAUCAUGUCUGGAACAUAAUGGAACCACAUGAAAGUGUCGACACACACACACAUGAACAUCUAUAUAAAGAUGCAUAAGAGAAUAGCACUUGAACAUAAAGAGAUAAGCGAGGAUCAUGAACCCACGAAUGAGUACUCAUCAUACAAUCAUAGAAUCAUAAAGAUUAUAAAGAAUAGAAAAGAUAGACGUGGAAGUUCAAGUAUCUAAAGAGAGAUGAGCGUAUUGGCCAUGUACAUAUACAGAAACGCCAUCCGAUAAACCAGUGAAAUAGAUGGAUCUUGUGUGAUAAAGAAACCGUGAGAGAGGACACAUGAUCACGUGGCCUAGAGUGCCCAUGUCCUCCUACUAACAGCAUUAGAUCAUAGCUUGUUACACAAGGUAUUCACAAAGAUCAAAGGAACAGAUUAUAAGGAGAUAAAAUCCUAUGUGGUGAAUGCUGCUACAGAUUUUCGGAAUUGAAAACAGUCUGGUCAUAAGAAAGAAAAAAGAUACACUGAUGUAGUAAGCAGCAUAUGGAUCACUGGAUAAGAUAAUAUAUUAUAAGAGAACAGCUUUGUUCCUAAGCUGAUUCAUGGACUAAAGCAAAAGCAGCUGCAUAUAGUAUAUAAAAGAAAUUGAUCACACAUGAUCAUUGAUCUUGGAGUUGUAUAAAAGACAAUCCAAUAAACAGUCCAUAUACAUAAGAGGUUUUAUAAAGAAAUUCCUUGUGCUUAUACUAAACCUAAAAGAGGUUAGUAAAUAUAGAAUAAAAUCUAUGUGAGUGACUGGCUAAAACGUCCAGCACACCAGCUGAGAGCAUCCGGCUCUCUGGCCAAAAGCGUCCAGCCCUCAGGCUAAAGACGUCCGGCCUAUCAGCUCAAAGAGCGUCCAGUUCUUCUAGACACGUCCAGCUUUUAGACCUUAAGAGGCGUCUGAACCUUCUUGGUCAUGGGCUAAAAGAAACUAAAGAUCAACCAUCAGGUUGCAAUCCGACAUCAGAUCCCUUAAGGAUCCAGCAAAGCAGAAUGGUCUGCUGCUGUAUGAACUCCAUAAAGCUUUGUCAUAAGAUUAAGAGGAGACAUCUAAUCUGUCGGAUACCAAAGAAGUAUUGUAGCCCAUAAAGCUUAUGAGAUCUAUGACCUAAGGUCAUGAGACGUCAUUAAGAUAGGAAUGCAAAGAAUAAAGAAUACAGCAUUACCUAAGGCAAGAAAGAUCGAUGUCCAUACAUGAGAGUGUGUUCGGCCGCAGAGCCAUGAUAAGAGAUUGUAAACCUCAAAGCAAUAAUCAUUGAACACUCAUAAGAUUAAUGAAUGGACAAGUAUGGACGUGGCCUAUGAACUAGACAUGAAUCGACCAGAUUGAAACAUGGUCGAAUGAUAACUGUCCAUAAGUACUUGGUCUGUCCGACCUAAGUAAAGAGUUUGAUAAGUAGACAAACACGUCUAGACUAUGGACAGAUAUAAACACGUUUUGUAAAGACCAACAAGUGAUCCCUGAUUACAAUGUGGUUCACAUUGAUUAGCACACAUGCUUUAAACGGGACACUAGAUGUCAAAGGACAUGAGAGACGACCAUGAAAGGUCGAAGUGGUCUAGUUACGGUUCAGUACAGAAACUGGCCGAUUACUCCCAUUCUAUACCUACAGGAUAGAUCACGCAUCAAGAUGCAUAGUAUGUAGAACCUACACGGAGGUUCACAUCAGGGGGAGUAGUGCGUGUUGUACUCUUUUUCCUUCAUCAUGGUUUUGUCCCACUGGGUUUUCCUGAUAAGGUUUUAAUGAGGCAACAUUAAGCGUACUACAAAUCCUGUAUGGUUAUGGCAUCCAAGGGGGAGUGUUAUGAACAUGUGUGGAUUGCCAUUAACCAAGACAAGAAGAGAAGGCCCAUCAGGCCACGACCAGGCCCAACCACGGCUGUGUCCAAGAGAGAGAGAGUCGGCCACAUCCUAACCGACUUAAGGAGAGAGAGAACCAACAGCAAGGAGGAGAGAGAGUCGGCCAAAGCCUUGGCCUACUUAGGAUAUAGAUAGUUUCCUUUUUCCCAUGUAUUAGUAGUUUUCCUAUUUCAUGUAGGAUUAGGAUAAGUACUCUUUCCAUUUAUCUCUAUCUUAUAAUCCUUAUAUAAGGAACCCCUUUUGAUGAUUAAUAAUAACACAGAACAAUUAUACACGAAUUCUCUAUUGUUCACAACACGUUAUCAGCACGAUAGUCCCUAAAUCCCUGAGACAAAACCAUAACCUAAAAUCCGUCACACAUAAACCCUAAAUAAGGCGGAACUUCAAAUCGAUCUAUCUCUCCAACCCCGACGAACCAGACGACGAGCCACAUAUCAAAUUGAAGCUUUGUACGAGACGAAUCCAUCAGCGCAAACCGUUCGUCGAUCCGAUCGAAAACGCGCCCACACGCGCAGAAACAAUACACGGCGCCGACUUAAGUUCUUGGAACCCUAAUCCGAGCCAACAAGAUUUUUCUAUCCAAAUUCAAAUCUUGUGAAAGAUAAGUUCAUCAUACCUUAGUUAUUUGAUGAUACCUUGUUUAGAUUAUGAUGUUGAUGUAAUCUAAUACUCUUUGUUUUCUUUAUUGUUUCAUGAGCUGAAGAGGAGUUAGUGCGAAGAACCCUAAACUGUUCUUGCUUGAAUUCUGGCUUGCAUACAUCCGAUCAGGUCCAGCCCUAAGGUGUUCCUGAUCCUAGACGCCCUCAGCUCCCUGUUCAAAACAAAGCCAGUCCACGUUCCAAGUGAGACAACUCGCAAUCUAGAUCAGCUUGCAUUCGCGAAACAGACAGCACGCGUCCGAGGUUUAUCCGUCCAUCUUGGUGGUCCGGUUCAACCCUACAAACAGAGGUAUACCGAUUAAUCUGAGAACCUAGUGAUCAAACCUAAAACCCUAAGAGUUCUUGAUCACUAGAUUGAAAUCGAUUCCAACUAGAACAUGUUUGAUUGUUUGAUUGUCUCUGAUUUAAAUUAUAAGAGACCCUAAAUCUGGAAUCAAAACACUAAACCUUAAAAGCUAGAAUCCGACUUUAAAAGUGCUCUUGCUUGAUUGAAAUCUUGAUUGAUUGAGGUUUAGGAUUGAUAGAUUGAUUGAUAGAUCUAAUCUCUAAAUUCGAAAUCCUUAAAAGCCUUGAAACCCUUAAUCGGCUACUUGAAAGUUUAAAAAUGGUUUUUGAAUGAGAGUUAGGUUGCUAGAUUGAUUGAUCCUAAAAUCUAGUUGAAACAUUACCAACCUUGAAAUUGGUAAACUUGAUAUGUAUUGUGUGGCAUAGUAUUUUGUCAUGAAUCAUAUUGGACGACCGUAAGGUCUAAUACAUUGUACACACUUGCGGCCUUGUGCCCUUGAUUGAUUGAAAGCCGUGUAGCUUAGUGUACAUCUAAGAGGCCGUGUGGCCUAGCAUCCGGAUGAUCAUAUAUGACCCGGACUGCAUCAUGAUCCGAUCCUUAAGAUCGUUGUAUCACAUACUAAUCGUGGAAGUCUAAGGCAUUACAUCACAAAGCCGUAUGGCCUUAUAUCCGGAUGGAUAUAUAAACCAGAUUAUAACAUGAACCAAUCUCUAAGAUUGCUGUAUCACACUAACAUGGACGUGUGACCUGACUCACACCAUGAUCGAUUGUUCUCAUAGAUGCGUAAGAACUUGUUUGUGGCCGAGCUUGCUAUAUCAUGCGGCUGCAUGAGCCACAUUGUGAACCUAAAUUUUAAAUGACAAUGUGACUCAGAUAUCGAAAAGGGAUUUGGUGAUACAAUCACCAAGGAAAACAAUGAGAAUGAAUUGGUACAGGAUUCCAUCAUCUCAUUGAAGGUCUAAAAGAUCAGUACAUCAUUAUGGAAAAUCCACUAGACUUUGGGUAUGCUUCACAGCAUAGAAAUUACCACCAGAAAACGGUGUUGCUUCCAAAGGCUAGAAAUGACUGGAAAGAAUCUAAGAUUCUUGGAUUACAAAGUCAUGGAUGAGUACAACUCAGUCUUGUUUAAAGACAGUCUCGAUGCUGAGACUUUGUGGCCGAAAAUUUUAGUCUUGUUUAAGGCUUCACCACUUAUACUGACCUAAUCACAUGUCUGCUUCUGGCAGAGACCAAAUUUUCGAUACGACUAGUCUUAUUGCUUUAUGAUUGCAAUUGUGUUUUAACCUAAGGAUCAUUCACGAUUUUUUUUAUACAAAGGAAUUGGUUUUAAGUUUAUUGAAUCUUGCCUGAUCUUACUUGAACAUAUGGAUGUUUUUAAAGUAUUGCCUAAAGGGCAUAAAACCAAGAAAUCAUGAAUGGUAUAGCAAGCAUAGUAAAGAAACUAUGGCUAAGGCAUUUGCCUAUAAGGCAUUAUAUACACCCAAAGAAAACGUGGUCCAUUGAAUGGUUUCCAAAUAAGAAACAAUGGACAAACUAGAAGGAAACAAGUUCCCUCAGAUUUUGAAAGAAAAAUCGCCUAAGACCUUGAAAGAAAGUGAUCGAAAACUAUACCAAAUGAUCCCUACUGAUUUAAAACUAUGCUACAAAGAUCAGUAUGAUAAGAGGCAAGAGAGGUGGUGACUAUAAAGACAUAGCCCACGAAAUUAUACACUAUAUGGCAAGAUAGGAUUAGCCCCCCUAAAGUUUAAACUUGAUGCAAAGAAAUUGAAAAGGCACAAAGUUAUCCCGUAAAGAUCUCACGUUGUGAAACAUGUACACAUAGGGAAACUUAUUAGGCUUAAUAAUCCCAAAGCACCACGACCUUAUAGUAUGGUCAUGAGGGGGAGAGAGGAUAAAACCCAUGAUCAAUACUACAAGUUCGUGUACCAAUGGUCUAAAGACCAUGUUAUAUGGCUCGACCAUUACUCGACCAUUACCCGGCCAAAGAGAGGCCAUGAUACAAACGGCCAAACCAAAGAGGCUAUCACCUAUAAACAGCUUGGCCACGACCUGGCCAUGACUUGGCCGUGACUUGGCCUCAUAGUGCAGCCUUGGCAGCACACAGUCCAUGACUCGGCCAAAGAGGCCGAAGAGACCAUGAGAGACAACGGCCUGGCCACAAAGGCCAUAACCGGCCGGAGAGGCCAUUACCUAUAAGAGGUUCGGCCAUUACCUAUAUGCUUGGGGACAUUAUGAAUUUACAUGUACAGAAUGAUAAUAAGAUCAUAUGCAUCAGGCCAUAUAAGUGAGCAUAGAUAUUCCCAUCUAAAGAAUGAAUACGGGUCAUUAAAACCAGACAUACACCAUCUUAAGAGUUCAUUGAAAUAAACCACCACAUACAUAUGUGUGCCGUCUAAGAUGGAACCUCAUAAGAGGAUUGGGAAUAUAUGUUGGAUAGGAGUAUUACUUUCUCCACGAAUUCAAAGAGACCUUGAGCCAAAACAUGGGUGAUUGAAUAAAGGCCAGGUACGGAUUGCAUGACCAAAAGCAUCCGACUAUCCAAACAUUAAAGGAGAAAGAUUAUAAGCUGGAUAAAGAAAGAGUAAAGGAAUGAUAAGAAUGGUUUUAACCAUCAUUGUCUUGGCAAGAUCCUCGGACCAGAGAACAUGAUAUAAGACGUCCAAAGAAAGAUAAUAUAAAGCUGUCCAAUUGAGAAGCUAAUCGACAUGCCAGACACUGACCCGAAAAAGAAUGACUAAGUCAUAACCAGCUUAGCACCAUAUGAACGUCCUAGAAGAGACAUAAUCAAGUUGCUAUAGAGUCUAUACAAGAUAGACCAAGUGUUCCAUAAGAGAAAGGAAACUCGGAUAGAAAGAAAAGGUGCAUAGAAUGAUAGAUCCGAAGUUAUAAGAGAAACCAUACAGACAUUGAGAAAAGGCUGCGCAGCUACACAUCUAAGGUACCAAACCAUGUAGUCUUGGGACGCCAAGCUACUAGGUAACAAAGGUCCUAGAUAAUGAAAUCUCAAAGUGAUCAGAUCAUGUCUGGAACAUAAUGGAACCACAUGAAAGUGUCGACACACACACACAUGAACAUCUAUAUAAAGAUGCAUAAGAGAAUAGCACUUGAACAUAAAGAGAUAAGCGAGGAUCAUGAACCCACGAAUGAGUACUCAUCAUACAAUCAUAGAAUCAUAAA